UAUGGACUAACACAGAGGACAUCAUGUUUAAUACGGUUCCGGAAAAAUCCAGUCAGAAGCUGUUCACGGAGUUUUCACAAUAACUGCUUCUCAUGAACCAAAGCUGCGCGACGUCUCCUCCUGAAAGUUGGAUUACCGUGCACUUCUGGAUCACAGGCUAUUCGCAGCUGGACACAUCCUUCUACACUGUAUGCAAACAUGCAACAUCAUUACACACAGUACAAGGCAUAUGAGGAGCAAAGGAACCCAGGCAGUAGCAUCGUUUCACAAUGUUUCAAUCACCAUCAUCAGUGGAUGCCUUUGCCGUCCGUAGCCUGAGAUUUCAGAUUUGCAGCAAAAAAUGUGACUUUCCCAUUUAUUGGAAUGCUGUGCAGGUUGUACCUUGCAGCCAUCCAUUACAAUGUCACCAAGCCAUAACAAAAGCAGGAGAGGGAAAGUACAAGGCUAUGUUCCCAAAACACACAAGUGACAUACUGUAAGCAGUAAUGUUUUAUUUCAAAUACAUUCAUAAUUAAAAACUUAAUGUAUGAAGCAGGGAAAUAAAUUAUCAAAACAAAAGAUUUAUUGACUGCAAUAUUUGUACAGUUAUGUGGAUGAUGUGAUCAGGCUUGUGUUUGAUGAGGUAUUUGAAGAUAAGCUGAAGGAAACCCCGAUUCCAAUGGACCUGGCAUCACAGUUUGAGAGACCUUCAAAGGAGGACGUGAUUGCAUGCCAUCUUCAGUGCAGGGGUCGUCGGAAGCCAACAUUCCGAUCAGGAAGCUCCAAGCAUAUCUGGAGAACAACACACGACAGGAUGAUAACCCUAAAGUGUCGUCUUAGAUAGCACCAGCUGACAAAGCUUUGAUAUGCCAUUUAUCUGAAUAGAUAGCUGUAAGAAGUGAAUUGAACAAUUUUUUGAAAGAAGAGCACAAUAUGGUUACUAAAGUAUGUUUAUUUGUAUAUUGUUUAACAGUUAAAUAUAUAUUUGUAAUAAAUAAACUUUUGACUGACUACUA
Misgurnus anguillicaudatus (oriental weatherfish) is the source of this 995-nucleotide non-coding RNA. NCBI's taxonomy places the organism in Eukaryota, Metazoa, Chordata, Actinopteri, Cypriniformes, Cobitidae. The record is from RefSeq and is a predicted model, not a curated record.